UACGUAGGGGGCUAGCGUUGUCCGGAAUCAUUGGGCGUAAAGCGCGUGUAGGCGGCCCGGUAAGUCCGCUGUGAAAGUCGGGGGCUCAACCCUCGGAUGCCGGUGGAUACUGUCGGGCUCGAGUACGGAAGAGGCGAGUGGAAUUCCUGGUGUAGCGGUGAAAUGCGCAGAGAUCGGAAAGAACACCAACGGCGAAAGCACUCUGCUGGGCCGACACUGACACUGAGAGACGAAAGCUAGGGGAGCAAAUGGG
Molecule: ribosomal RNA, 253 nt
Filed under: uncultured bacterium
Lineage: Bacteria
Description: partial 16S ribosomal RNA
Rfam family: Bacterial small subunit ribosomal RNA
Source: RNAcentral